GAGGAAUAUUGAUCAAUGGGCGGGAGCCUGAACCAGCCAAGUCGCGUGAGGGAAGACGGUCCUAUGGAUUGUAAACCUCUUUAGGCGGGGAGCAAUGCCGGGCACGCGUGCCCGGAGGGAGAGUACCCGCAGAAUAAGCAUCGGCUAACUCC
This 152-nucleotide ribosomal RNA is filed under the name uncultured bacterium. RNAcentral describes it as "partial 16S ribosomal RNA". It matches the Rfam family "Bacterial small subunit ribosomal RNA", at positions 356 to 504 of the family's 1533-position model. The record is from RNAcentral.